GCGCCCGUAGCUCAGGUGGAUAGAGCGUCAGCCUUCUAAGCUGAGGGCCGCUGGUUCGAGUCCAGCCGGGCGCGCCA
This 77-nucleotide transfer RNA is filed under the name Candidatus Hydrogenedentota bacterium. RNAcentral's name for it is "tRNA-Arg". It matches the Rfam family "tRNA". Rfam says of the family: Transfer RNA (tRNA) molecules are approximately 80 nucleotides in length. Their secondary structure includes four short double-helical elements and three loops (D, anti-codon, and T loops). Lineage: Bacteria; Pseudomonadati; Candidatus Hydrogenedentota. The record is from RNAcentral.